Molecule: ribosomal RNA, 502 nt
Filed under: uncultured bacterium
Lineage: Bacteria
Description: bacterial SSU rRNA
Rfam family: Bacterial small subunit ribosomal RNA
Source: RNAcentral
UAAACGCUGGCGGCGUGCUUAACACAUGCAAGUCGAACGGAGUGGUUCUCCCGAGGAUUGAUGGUGCUUGCACUGAUUGACUCAUUGAAUCACUUAGUGGCGGACGGGUGAGUAACGCGUGGGAAACCUGCCCUAUACUGGGGGAUAGCAGUUGGAAACGACUGAUAAUACCGCAUAAGCGCACAGGAUCGCAUGGUCCAGUGUGAAAAACUCCGGUGGUAUAGGAUGGUCCCGCGUCUGAUUAGCUAGUUGGUGAGGUAACGGCCCACCAAGGCGACGAUCAGUAGCCGGCCUGAGAGGGUGUACGGCCACAUUGGGACUGAGACACGGCCCAAACUCCUACGGGAGGCAGCAGUGGGGAAUAUUGGACAAUGGGGGAAACCCUGAUCCAAGCGACGCCGCGUGAACGAUGAAGUAUUUCGGUAUGUAAAGUUCUAUCAGCAGGGAAGAUAAUGACGGUACCUGACUAAGAAGCACCGGCUAAAUACGUGCCAGCCGCUGC